RNAcentral lists this ribosomal RNA (484 nucleotides) under uncultured bacterium. RNAcentral's name for it is "partial 16S ribosomal RNA". It matches the Rfam family "Bacterial small subunit ribosomal RNA", at positions 29 to 507 of the family's 1533-position model. The record is from RNAcentral.
AUUGAACGCUGGCGGCAUGCUUUACACAUGCAAGUCGAACGGCAGCGCGGGCUUCGGCCUGGCGGCGAGUGGCGCACGGGUGAGUAAUACAUCGGAACGUGCCCAGUAGUGGGGGAUAGCUCGGCGAAAGCCGGAUUAAUACCGCAUACGACCUGAGGGUGAAAGCGGGGGAUCUUCGGACCUCGCGCUAUUGGAGCGGCCGAUGGCAGAUUAGCUAGUUGGUGGGGUAAAGGCCUACCAAGGCGACGAUCUGUAGCUGGUCUGAGAGGACGACCAGCCACCCGGGGGCUGGGACAGCGACCAGGGUACUGAGGUAGGGCGCAGAGGGGAAUGUUAGGCAACAGGGGGAAGUCUUGCACAAUAAGGGCGCGUGUGAUGUAGAGGCCCCGCGGGUGGAAAGCACUUUUGGCGGGAACGAAAAGGACUGUGCCAAUACCACGGUUCGAUGACGGUACCCGCAGAAUAAGCACCGGCUAACUACGUG